UUAAGCGACUAAGCGUACACGGUGGAUGCCCUGGCAGUCAGAGGCGAUGAAGGACGUGCUAAUCUGCGAUAAGCGUCGGUAAGGUGAUAUGAACCGUUAUAACCGGCGAUUUCCGAAUGGGGAAACCCAGUGUGUUUCGACACACUAUCAUUAACUGAAUCCAUAGGUUAAUGAGGCGAACCGGGGGAACUGAAACAUCUAAGUACCCCGAGGAAAAGAAAUCAACCGAGAUUCCCCCAGUAGCGGCGAGCGAACGGGGAGCAGCCCAGAGCCUGAAUCAGUAUGUGUGUUAGUGGAAGCGUCUGGAAAGGCGCGCGAUACAGGGUGACAGCCCCGUACACAAAAAUGCACAUGCUGUGAGCUCGAUGAGUAGGGCGGGACACGUGGUAUCCUGUCUGAAUAUGGGGGGACCAUCCUCCAAGGCUAAAUACUCCUGACUGACCGAUAGUGAACCAGUACCGUGAGGGAAAGGCGAAAAGAACCCCGGCGAGGGGAGUGAAAAAGAACCUGAAACCGUGUACGUACAAGCAGUGGGAGCACGCUUAGGCGUGUGACUGCGUACCUUUUGUAUAAUGGGUCAGCGACUUAUAUUCUGUAGCAAGGUUAACCGAAUAGGGGAGCCGAAGGGAAACCGAGUCUUAACUGGGCGUUAAGUUGCAGGGUAUAGACCCGAAACCCGGUGAUCUAGCCAUGGGCAGGUUGAAGGUUGGGUAACACUAACUGGAGGACCGAACCGACUAAUGUUGAAAAAUUAGCGGAUGACUUGUGGCUGGGGGUGAAAGGCCAAUCAAACCGGGAGAUAGCUGGUUCUCCCCGAAAGCUAUUUAGGUAGCGCCUCGUGAAUUCAUCUCCGGGGGUAGAGCACUGUUUCGGCAAGGGGGUCAUCCCGACUUACCAACCCGAUGCAAACUGCGAAUACCGGAGAAUGUUAUCACGGGAGACACACGGCGGGUGCUAACGUCCGUCGUGAAGAGGGAAACAACCCAGACCGCCAGCUAAGGUCCCAAAGUCAUGGUUAAGUGGGAAACGAUGUGGGAAGGCCCAGACAGCCAGGAUGUUGGCUUAGAAGCAGCCAUCAUUUAAAGAAAGCGUAAUAGCUCACUGGUCGAGUCGGCCUGCGCGGAAGAUGUAACGGGGCUAAACCAUGCACCGAAGCUGCGGCAGCGACGCUGAUGCGUUGUUGGGUAGGGGAGCGUUCUGUAAGCCUGUGAAGGUGUGCUGUGAGGCAUGCUGGAGGUAUCAGAAGUGCGAAUGCUGACAUAAGUAACGAUAAAGCGGGUGAAAAGCCCGCUCGCCGGAAGACCAAGGGUUCCUGUCCAACGUUAAUCGGGGCAGGGUGAGUCGACCCCUAAGGCGAGGCCGAAAGGCGUAGUCGAUGGGAAACAGGUUAAUAUUCCUGUACUUGGUGUUACUGCGAAGGGGGGACGGAGAAGGCUAUGUUGGCCGGGCGACGGUUGUCCCGGUUUAAGCGUGUAGGCUGGUUUUCCAGGCAAAUCCGGAAAACUAAGGCUGAGGCGUGAUGACGAGGCACUACGGUGCUGAAGCAACAAAUGCCCUGCUUCCAGGAAAAGCCUCUAAGCAUCAGGUAACAUCAAAUCGUACCCCAAACCGACACAGGUGGUCAGGUAGAGAAUACCAAGGCGCUUGAGAGAACUCGGGUGAAGGAACUAGGCAAAAUGGUGCCGUAACUUCGGGAGAAGGCACGCUGAUAUGUAGGUGAAGUCCCUCGCGGAUGGAGCUGAAAUCAGUCGAAGAUACCAGCUGGCUGCAACUGUUUAUUAAAAACACAGCACUGUGCAAACACGAAAGUGGACGUAUACGGUGUGACGCCUGCCCGGUGCCGGAAGGUUAAUUGAUGGGGUCAGCGCAAGCGAAGCUCUUGAUCGAAGCCCCGGUAAACGGCGGCCGUAACUAUAACGGUCCUAAGGUAGCGAAAUUCCUUGUCGGGUAAGUUCCGACCUGCACGAAUGGCGUAAUGAUGGCCAGGCUGUCUCCACCCGAGACUCAGUGAAAUUGAACUCGCUGUGAAGAUGCAGUGUACCCGCGGCAAGACGGAAAGACCCCGUGAACCUUUACUAUAGCUUGACACUGAACAUUGAGCCUUGAUGUGUAGGAUAGGUGGGAGGCUUUGAAGUGUGGACGCCAGUCUGCAUGGAGCCGACCUUGAAAUACCACCCUUUAAUGUUUGAUGUUCUAACGUUGACCCGUAAUCCGGGUUGCGGACAGUGUCUGGUGGGUAGUUUGACUGGGGCGGUCUCCUCCUAAAGAGUAACGGAGGAGCACGAAGGUUGGCUAAUCCUGGUCGGACAUCAGGAGGUUAGUGCAAUGGCAUAAGCCAGCUUGACUGCGAGCGUGACGGCGCGAGCAGGUGCGAAAGCAGGUCAUAGUGAUCCGGUGGUUCUGAAUGGAAGGGCCAUCGCUCAACGGAUAAAAGGUACUCCGGGGAUAACAGGCUGAUACCGCCCAAGAGUUCAUAUCGACGGCGGUGUUUGGCACCUCGAUGUCGGCUCAUCACAUCCUGGGGCUGAAGUAGGUCCCAAGGGUAUGGCUGUUCGCCAUUUAAAGUGGUACGCGAGCUGGGUUUAGAACGUCGUGAGACAGUUCGGUCCCUAUCUGCCGUGGGCGCUGGAGAACUGAGGGGGGCUGCUCCUAGUACGAGAGGACCGGAGUGGACGCAUCACUGGUGUUCGGGUUGUCAUGCCAAUGGCACUGCCCGGUAGCUAAAUGCGGAAGAGAUAAGUGCUGAAAGCAUCUAAGCACGAAACUUGCCCCGAGAUGAGUUCUCCCUGACUCCUUGAGAGUCCUGAAGGAACGUUGAAGACGACGACGUUGAUAGGCCGGGUGUGUAAGCGCAGCGAUGCGUUGAGCUAACCGGUACUAAUGAACCGUGAGGCUUAACCUU
RNAcentral lists this ribosomal RNA (2902 nucleotides) under Escherichia coli. RNAcentral's name for it is "bacterial LSU rRNA". It matches the Rfam family "Bacterial large subunit ribosomal RNA". Lineage: Bacteria; Pseudomonadati; Pseudomonadota; Gammaproteobacteria; Enterobacterales; Enterobacteriaceae. The record is from RNAcentral.